GACGAACGCUGGCGGCGCGCCUAACACAUGCAAGUCGAACGAGCGAGAGAGAGCUUGCUUUCUCGAGCGAGUGGCGAACGGGUGAGUAACGCGUGAGGAACCUGCCUCAAAGAGGGGGACAACAGUUGGAAACGACUGCUAAUACCGCAUAAGCCCACAGGUCGGCAUCGACCAGAGGGAAAAGGAGCAAUCCGCUUUGAGAUGGCCUCGCGUCCGAUUAGCUAGUUGGUGAGGUAAUGGCCCACCAAGGCGACGAUCGGUAGCCGGACUGAGAGGUUGAACGGCCACAUUGGGACUGAGACACGGCCCAGACUCCUACGGGAGGCAGCAGUGGGGAAUAUUGCACAAUGGGGGAAACCCUGAUGCAGCGACGCCGCGUGGAGGAAGAAGGUCUUCGGAUUGUAAACUCCUGUUGUUGAGGAAGAUAAUGACGGUAC
Molecule: ribosomal RNA, 437 nt
Filed under: uncultured bacterium
Lineage: Bacteria
Description: bacterial SSU rRNA
Rfam family: Bacterial small subunit ribosomal RNA
Source: RNAcentral